This 328-nucleotide long non-coding RNA is filed under the name Brassica napus (rape). RNAcentral's name for it is "long non-coding RNA (BNAP_LNC012060)". The record is from RNAcentral. Lineage: Eukaryota; Viridiplantae; Streptophyta; Magnoliopsida; Brassicales; Brassicaceae.
UUUGAAGGUGGGAGCUCAUAGCCAAAAGAAACACAACUAGCAAACACAAUUAGCACACUCUCUUAUUACACUCUAGCUUCUCUAGGCCUAUCUCAACUCUUUUUGCCCUUACACUCAUCAUCAAUCAUCCACAUAUUCAAAUCAACCAACUCUCACAUUCGUUAAGCACAAAACAUUAGGUGAAUUCUUGCAAAUGGUCAGUUGGUCCAAGUCAUUUGGUUGGGUAAGGGAAGGCUUUUAUUCAAGUGAUUCAAGAGGUUCAAAACAUAUGAUCUUUAAAGUGGUUUACUCUCGAAACAAGUAGCCUUGACAUUGCACAUAAUAUAUC